UAAUGCUGACUUCUGUGGACAUGUUGAUGGCCUCCCUUUAAAAUCCUUUGGACAGACCUAGGCUGACUCUAAUGCUGCAACUCCUUUGUCUUUCAGUUGGUGAGUAUGUGAAAGCCCUGGAGUGUGCCAAAGCCUAUCUUCUGUGCCAUCCAGAUGAUGAGGAUGUCCUAGACAAUGUGGAUUACUAUGAGAGUCUGCUGGAUGAUAGCACUGACCCGGCAUCCAUUGAGGCCAGAGAGGAUUUAACAAUGUUUGUGAAACGUCAUAAGCUGGAGUCUGAGCUGAUAAAAUCAGCUGCAGAAGGUCUGGGGUUUUCAUACACUGAACCGAAUUAUUGGAUCAGAUAUGGAGGACGACAGGAUGAGAAUCGGGUCCCUUCAGGAGUGAACGUAGAGGGAGCAGAAGUUCAUGGAUUCUCAAUGGGAAAAAAGCUAUCACCCAAGAUAGAUCGAGACCUAAGAGAAGGUGGUCCUCUGCUCUAUGAGAACAUCACAUUCGUCUACAACUCGGAGCAGCUGAACGGGACUCAGCGGGUUCUCCUGGAUAACGUCCUGUCGGAAGAACAGUGCCGGGAGCUCCACAG
Molecule: small RNA, 583 nt
Filed under: Pan troglodytes (chimpanzee)
Lineage: Eukaryota; Metazoa; Chordata; Mammalia; Primates; Hominidae
Description: retained intron
Source: RNAcentral